AUGUCUUCGGACAUUAGUGGCGGACGGGUGAGUAACGCGUGAGAAUCUGCCUUCAGGAGGGGGAUAACGACUAGAAAUGGUCGCUAAUACCCCAUAUGUCACGGAUGAAAAGAUUUUUUGCCUGAAGAUGAGCUCGCGUCAGAUUAGCUAGUUGGUGAGGUAACGGCUCACCAAGGCGACGAUCUGUAGCUGGUCUGAGAGGAUGAUCAGCCACACUGGGACUGAGACACGGCCCAGACUCCUACGGGAGGCAGCAGUGGGGAAUUUUCCGCAAUGGGCGAAAGCCUGACGGAGCAAGACCGCGUGGGGGAUGAAUGCCUAAUGGUUGUAAACCCCUUUUAUUCGGGAAGAUAAUGACGGUACCGAAUGAAUCAGCCUCGGCUAACUCCGUGCCAGCAGCCGCGGUAAUACGGAGGAGGCAAGCGUUAUCCGGAAUUAUUGGGCGUAAAGCGUCCGUAGGUGGUUGGACAAGUCAGCUGUUAAAGAGUGGUGCUUAACACCAUAAAGGCGGUUGAAACUGUUUAACUAGAGUUUGGUAGGGGUUGCGGGAAUUCCCAGUGUAGCGGUGAAAUGCGUAGAUAUUGGGAAGAACACCGGUGGCGAAAGCGCGCGACUGGACCUGAACUGACACUGAGGGACGAAAGCUAGGGGAGCGAAAGGGAUUAGAUACCCCUGUAGUCCUAGCUGUAAACGAUGGAUACUAGGUGUUGCCCGUAUAUCGACCCGGGCAGUGCCGUAGCUAACGCGUUAAGUAUCCCGCCUGGGGAGUACGCUCGCAAGAGUGAAACUCAAAGGAAUUGAC
Molecule: ribosomal RNA, 802 nt
Filed under: uncultured cyanobacterium
Lineage: Bacteria; Bacillati; Cyanobacteriota
Description: bacterial SSU rRNA
Rfam family: Bacterial small subunit ribosomal RNA
Source: RNAcentral